CCUACGGGUGGCUGCAGUGGGGAAUAUUGGACAAUGGGCGAAAGCCUGAUCCAGCCAUGCCGCGUGUGUGAAGAAGGCCUUCGGGUUGUAAAGCACUUUCAGUGGGGAAGAAAGCCUUGGGGCUAAUACCCUCGAGGAAGGACAUCACCCACAGAAGAAGCACCGGCUAACUCCGUGCCAGCAGCCGCGGUAAUACGGAGGGUGCGAGCGUUAAUCGGAAUUACUGGGCGUAAAGCGCGCGUAGGCGGUCUGAUAAGCCGGUUGUGAAAGCCCCGGGCUCAACCUGGGAACGGCAUCCGGAACUGUCAGGCUAGAGUGCAGGAGAGGAAGGUAGAAUUCCCGGUGUAGCGGUGAAAUGCGUAGAGAUCGGGAGGAAAACCAGUGGCGAAGGCGGCCUUCUGGACUGACACUGACGCUGAGGUGCGAAAGCGUGGGUAGCAAACAGGAUUAGAUACCCGAGUAGUC
RNAcentral lists this ribosomal RNA (465 nucleotides) under Vreelandella stevensii. RNAcentral describes it as "partial 16S ribosomal RNA". It matches the Rfam family "Bacterial small subunit ribosomal RNA", at positions 338 to 795 of the family's 1533-position model. Lineage: Bacteria; Pseudomonadati; Pseudomonadota; Gammaproteobacteria; Oceanospirillales; Halomonadaceae. The record is from RNAcentral.